RNAcentral lists this long non-coding RNA (3970 nucleotides) under Ricinus communis (castor bean). RNAcentral describes it as "long non-coding RNA (RCOM_LNC003345)". Lineage: Eukaryota; Viridiplantae; Streptophyta; Magnoliopsida; Malpighiales; Euphorbiaceae. The record is from RNAcentral.
UUUUUUCUCCUUCAUAUUGAAUGUAGUCUAUCACUUUGAGGUUAUGAGAACCUUGUGAAUUGAUAUAAAUUAUGGCAUGCAUCUCUGAGGAGAGUGGCACGGCCAAACAUCAUCCCAGAAGCGAAUCAGCUUACCAUUGCCCAACAAAAGUCUAGCCCAAGUUCUGCCUGAAAGUCUCUCUGUACCAAAUAAUACCUUUCUAGAUGCAGGAUAUUAUAGAGGUGGGUUGGUCAAUCCAUUUUUUCCAUUGGAGAGGUACUUAGCAGCAAAAUAGAAGCACCAUGGCUUUUUUUCUUUUUUUUUCCUUUGGAAAUCUCCAUAGCCACUUCAUAAGAAGGGCUGGCUUGGUUGAAGUCCACCUCCUUCGUUAAGGUGAUUGAAAAAAUCCAGACCAUAAAAAAGAUUUCAUUUUUUGUAUGGGAUGUUAGUAAGGAUGAACAUGACGAGGUCUUAUUGCAUUACUUUUUUUUGAAUUCAAACAUAUCUAUCUCAAUCUUGUGGCAAUUUCCUCUUCAACUCAGCGCUUUAUAUUUAUAGAUAGGCAUUUUUAUUGAGAAUGCUUUAAGGUCCCACCCACCUUACCUUAAAAAAAGAAAAAAGUAGCCGAAAGAGCUCUCACAAAUAGAAUUUUAGUACCACGGAGAAAAGCUAGCUGGAUAAACAAGACAGGGAUCGCCCGCUCGGCAAUGCUACCUUGGGGAGGAGACAAAACACUUUAAUAAAACAUUAAAACUCAUAUUAAAAAGCUUUUCCGAUAUAUGAACAAGAUUACUAUAGAAGAGUUGGUGAACAUUGUUUUGACUCAUAGCUCUAAGAUGACUAGCAUGAAUGAGCCAGCUUCAACACCACCUAGACUCUUAAUCAUAGACAGACUUGCACUGACCUCAACAUAAAAGGAUGAACCUGGUCUGUCUAUUUGUACGCAUUGGCUUAACUCACUCCCCUAGACACUGCAAAGAAAAGAACACAUAAUGAAAACAGCCUGGUAAGGGCUGUACAAGGGAACGAGAAAGGGGUUUGAUAAGAAAGAGUUUUGGAAUGUCCCGCUUAGUUAACAAACAUUGAGUUUAGAGUCGGGGCAGCAUGGAUACGAGACUAUUGAAGUGAAGUUUGGAAUCAUUGUGGUUUUCUAUCUUCAGAUUACCAAAUCACCAAGGCCUUUCAGCGAUUCGACGCGCGCCCCCCCUAAGCUAGACGACCUGACCUCAGAGAGAAUAGAAUGAGUCGCCCUAGCCUUAGUCUUACUAAGAGUUUGAAUUGCUCUGUAGGAUAGUAGGGCGAAUGAAUUGCAUUAGUGUUGGCUAGCUGAAUCGCCCAGCGAACAAAUCGCCUCCUUGCUAUCUUAAAAAAAAAGCGGACCCGCGCGAAUCGCGUCUUCGAUCUUGCAUAUAUGCAUUAUAAAUUUAAUAUAUAUAUUUCUUUAUCAACCAGGUCAACUGACGCCAGCAUCACCACUACGGAAACGAAAUUUCCUUAGUCCUUUUUCUGUGAAACAAAGCCAAGCCUUUUCCGCCUUCCACUUUGGUUGGACGGUAGUUCCGGGAGCCAGUAGCGGUAACAGGUCGAGGGAUAUCAAAGAGAAGGUGCAGUUAGUCAAGCCUACAGUUCGAAUACCGCGGUUAGUCAGUACGGCAAGUAGAAAGGCAAAACAAAAAUUCCUUACUCUUUGUAGAAAGGAAAAGAAGUAAGCUAGACGAUUACUUUCUGUCAUAGGAAGUAGGCACCAGUACCAGUUCCGGUAGUGGUUACGGUAAGACUGCUUUGAAAAGAGAAAAAACUCCUUGCUUCAUUCUUUUUUGUAUAAGUUGGCUUAGGGAAAUACAGAGACAGAAGGUAGGUCGGCUAGUCUGGUGCCGAAGUGCACUUGGGAAAAAAGGGAAGCUUGGCUUAGAGAGUAGCUUUGCUUAGAGAAUAAAUCCGUCUUUCUUCCGUCACGGUAAGCGGGUUCUUUCUAGGACUGAUAGUUCAGUUCAAGCGUAUCAUAGAUCAAACUCUUUCAAGCCUUUUAAGUCAAGCUUGUUGUAAGGCUAAAGCCCCUUUACUAGUAGAGGCAGAACGAAAAAUCGGAAAGCAGUCAGUCUUUUCGGUAAGUCAGUGUUGCAAGUCUUAUGGUCCGAACAGAGUACAGAGCCGGCACUCCCGGAAGCCUGUGGGGAAUGGGGAAGGAAGACCAGACAGAGCUUGAGCCUGAGAGAAGGAAGGAAUACCGCUAAAACCGAGACUCCAAGACUCAGGUCAAGGAGAUCAGAUAGACGAAAAGUACUUUCCCUCGUAUGGAGAACAAAUCCUAUCUCUUAUCUCUCUAGUUCCGGAACUCUUGGUAAGCUAAGUUUCUUUGAAUAUACCUUUCAAGAAAAGACCUUUCUUUUAUUUUACGCCUUAUUAGUUAUGAAAGCAGAACCCAACUUGAUCGAUUCAGUGCUUGGAUUAGGUCCGGGUAGAGAACAGGUAAGGGCGGUAGGCUUUUCACUUUAGCCCUUGUUAUUCAAGGCCUUACUCGUUUAAAGCUUUUUUUAUCCCCUCUUUCUUUCUAGUUAGGGAGACCGUAGAUGAAAGCCUCUUCAGUAAACUCUUUCCGCUUCCGCUUCUGAAUCUGGAUGGCGGCUUUGGUUGGAAAAGAGAGUGUUUCAGUUACGGUUUAGGGCUAGUGAGUUACUAUACGUUCGUGAAGGCAGACAGGCGCUCGUAGACAGAAAACCGUUUUCGCAGAGCGACUUAGAGAAAACUAAGCACUUCUUGUUUCGAAAAGCGAUGCGUACAGUUCCGGGAGUAAAGGAAACCUUCUCUCUCUUGCUUUCGGGCCUACGUCUCUCUUUCAAGGGUUCCAGUUUCUUUGGUAGCUUUGGGCAAGGCAGUACUGGUACUCAGUCGAUCUUGCUCUAGCCGCUUUCGGCUUAAGUAAGGGAAGGUUUACUUUUCCUUUCCGUGAAGUUUUUGUUCCAGGCCCCCUUCUUAGUCAAUGGACUGAUAGUUGAAGGGACGGGAUCAUGACUUUGACUUAUAGGUAAACCUGUAAGUGAAGGAAGGAACAGCUGUAAGUUAAGGUUUCAAUGGAGUUGAACCUGCACCCGAACCAGAGGAGGGACCGAAGAGAGCCAGUAACGGUACUGGGGCAGGAGGAAGAGCAUUAAAGAAUAUAGCAGGUAGCGGGUAGGCGUCACCUAAGAGAGCCGGCACUCGAAGAAAAACCAGUAGUUCAGUUUCGGUACUCAAGUUCCAGCGCUCGUAGAAAGAGGUAGGUUCGUCAGUUUAGCCCCGUUUUUUAAGGUUUAGGGAAGGCUGGUGGGGACUAGAAUCGGUAAGAGGUCAAACUAGAGGUAUGACUAGAACUAGGAGCGACUUCCCCCUGUUGAAAAGAGGUUACCUGUUGAGAGAGUAGCUGUUCUUGCUUGCUCCUAAAGGACGAAUAAGCUUGACUUGCUUGGAUUGCUACCAAAGCUUCCCCAUAUUACAGGGAUGAUUACCACUGACAUUUGACAUUGUCUUCACUUCAUUCUUUGACUGCUGGAGGCUUGAGGCAGAGCUUUCUCUUUCCCUAGCUCCAGAACUAGUUGUGAACUUUAGCAGGUACAGGUACUAGAACUAGAACGCUGUAAACUCAUACUGUAACUCUCACUGGCACUGGCUGGGACUUUCCUGUUCCCUUUUUCCGUUACUUCUCGCGGAGAAUGGGCACAAAAAAAUUAGGUUCCGUGGUUCGAACAAUUUCCCUGGAUUCCUUUUCCUAUGCUCAUUAGUGUGAGCCCUGGCCAAUACUAAAUCCUAAACGAGUCGAGUCAGGUUCUAAUCUAAAAGCGAAAAGGCUGUUUUCCCUUUCUUGCUGGGGAAGAGGUUGGGGAGCCCCAGAGUCUUCCUCCAACUCAGCUUUCAAGGAAUCCAACGAUCCCUCCUAAAUAAACUCCCACUAACAAACUAACCUUCGGAAUCCUAUGUUCAAGUCAAGAAUCGAAAUUACAACAACUAAAAAAGC